Amblyraja radiata (thorny skate) is the source of this 110-nucleotide long non-coding RNA. RefSeq lists it as uncharacterized. The record is from RefSeq and is a predicted model, not a curated record. The transcript is spliced from 3 exons. NCBI's taxonomy places the organism in Eukaryota, Metazoa, Chordata, Chondrichthyes, Rajiformes, Rajidae.
GGCACUGUGAACCUUCCCUGCUGUUCAAUAUGAUCACAGUUAAUCUCUGCUGUCCUCUCCUGUACCAAUUCCCUAUGUCCUCCUAUUCAAUCAAAUGUUUAGUUUAGUUU